This is a long non-coding RNA of Liolophura sinensis, 506 nucleotides long. RefSeq lists it as uncharacterized. The record is from RefSeq and is a predicted model, not a curated record. NCBI's taxonomy places the organism in Eukaryota, Metazoa, Mollusca, Polyplacophora, Chitonida, Chitonidae. The transcript has 3 exons.
GAAAGAUCACGUGACCAAAACACCGCCAGCAAAACACUGGUUUCAGUCCACAUCUCAGAUGAACAAAAAUUCGAGUGUUUCAGAAAGUGCACCAGUAAAAAUGACUGGUGAACAGGAAAUUUGGUCUUCAGCUACCUACCAAGAAAGUUCUUUAGAUUAUUCCCAGGUAAGGCAUCCGGUAACAGAUAAAAUGCCAGUGUUUAUCCCGGCGGAAGACGAAGAAGAGGAUCAGGGCUUUCAAAUGACAGAAAAUCUGAUUGGAUCAAAUAAUGAGGACGAUACAUUGGACAACGUCACGAGCAAGGAAAUGUUCCACUCCAUGUAUGACAUCAACGACCAUCUUCACUUCGAACGGCAACCGCCAGCCUCGUUCUCAGAAAGAGGCUCUGACGGAAGGGCUGGUGUGAAUGUCCCUCCCGAUGGCGGUCCCUACCGUCACCCCGAAACUGAACCCAGGAGCCAACACGACCCACGAUACCGGUGGAGACCCAAAAAUAUCACGCCCU